Molecule: non-coding RNA, 597 nt
Organism: Pelobates cultripes (western spadefoot toad)
Lineage: Eukaryota; Metazoa; Chordata; Amphibia; Anura; Pelobatidae
Source: the annotation of a GenBank genome assembly
GGGUUUAGGAGGAUAAGCAGGGACCUCCGGCCCAGUACGUCAUUCAGAUUUCCCAUAUUUGUAAGUGUUUUAACUCUACGGCCAACCAAAGCAAAUCUUCCAGGGUUUUAACAUCGUUGACCCUAUGUAUCCAUUGUGUCACGGUUGAUAUAUUAGUUUAUUUCCAUAUAGUGGGAAUUAGGGCAUUUGCCUGUCCUAGAAUGUUCCAUCGAAGCUGCUGCUGGUGUAUGUUUGUGAGGGAGUGAGUCAAACCUAGUAGGGCUUGAGAGGUUGUUAGUGUAGGCAUACCCAGGAAAAGAUUUAGUUUUUUUAAUAACCUCAGUAGUUUAGGUCCAAUAGGGGUAUAUUGUAGCACACUGCCACCAUAAAUAAUACAGUGUACCCUCGACUCCAAUACAUCUCCAGCAUAUCUCACUGACCCCUGAUAUCUUUUUUUAUUAGUUUUCAUGUGUCAUCGGGCCAGUUGAGGACAUCAUAAUUCUGGUAAAAAUAUAUGCCUCGCAGAAACCUCAACUCUCUCGAUCUCCAGCACUUCUCUACUAAACUCCAAACACUCCUUUUACCCAUCUCAAAUCACAACUGCCCUUACUCUGCAAC